Long non-coding RNA from Talpa occidentalis (Iberian mole), 832 nucleotides. RefSeq lists it as uncharacterized. The record is from RefSeq and is a predicted model, not a curated record. Lineage: Eukaryota; Metazoa; Chordata; Mammalia; Eulipotyphla; Talpidae. The transcript has 6 exons.
GUGUGUUCAUUGGGGUGACACAAUCUGAACCUCAAAAAGACAGAGUGUCUGAAAUUGAGAUAAUGGAGGGAACAUGGAAAACUAUUUAAUAUGAAUAUCAAAAUAUGCUGUCAGACUACAGCUGUUACUUUCACUUACAGUACUGACAUCUGUCCCCAGUGUGUUCAGGCUGGCAGUGACAGUAAGGCUGGUUUCCAGGAGUCACACUGCAGGUCCCUCCAUUUUGACAAUAUUCUUCACAGACUGUUUGACCACAGUUUGGUCCAGUGAACCCCAGUGCACAGCUGCAGGUUUGCUUUUGAAAACACAAUGGAGCCUGAAACUCAUCAGUGUCCAGGAAACCCAGUCAGAGGGUAAUUGGCAGAGGCGGGUGAGAUACUGGUCAUCACCUGCUAGUGCAGAGCACAGGAGGCAGGACUACUCACCAGAAGAUUCAAUAUGAAAAAGUAAUAAAGGGGAUUCAGACAACAACAAACACAGAGAAAGAAGUCAGAGAAUCAAAUGUAGUUUGUCUUCAGAAUCAAAAGGAAAUUUUGUUCAUCAAGAUAAUUAAGGGAGACAUGUAUGUGGGAAGAUACUGAAGUGAAAGGAAAUUACAAUCAUAGAAAAAAAAAUGUCCCAGUACCAGUGGAAUUAUACAAUUGAUAUGAUAUAUGUAGUGAAAUCCUGCUUUGUUCAUCUGAACCAUCUCCACAGUCAUCAAGUCGAUCACACUGAAGAUCCAUGGGGAUGCACUUCUUAUUGCUACAAGCAAACUCAUCUUUUUUACAGGGUCUUGCCUUGGAUGUCAGCUUACCUACAGAGUCAUUAAAAAAAUGAUCAGUGCUUCACA